Molecule: RNA transcript, 242 nt
Organism: Ixodes scapularis (black-legged tick)
Lineage: Eukaryota; Metazoa; Arthropoda; Arachnida; Ixodida; Ixodidae
Exons: 3
Source: RefSeq, a predicted model, not a curated record
AUGUGUCGCACUAUCAGCAACAUGCUGCUCGUACUUUUCACCGUGGUGCUUAUUCUACCGGCAUUUCAAGGCGUGGGAUUUUUGUCUGGGAGUGGAAGUAUUUAUCACUGCGCGAAUGCAGUUAAUCCGCCGGCGAAAAUAUUGUGUGAACUCAACGGCUCUAAUGAUGUUUUUACUUCUCGCCUUCCAUCAUGCAACGUGACAUGCAGUGGUCCAAGACAGACGCUGCGGAUGCCACCUGA